AUGCGCAAAGGGCUGAAUGCCAUUAUCUCCCUGACGGCUCGGGAGAUCUGGAAGCACCGAAACAGCGUCAUCUUCAACGAUAUUCGCCCCUCUGCCCAGCAGCUUUUCGACCAAAUCCGGGACGAGGCACGGAUGUGGGCCAGGGCAGGGGCAACCGGAGUUGCCAACAUCAUCGACACCGGUUAA
Molecule: ribosomal RNA, 186 nt
Filed under: Triticum aestivum (bread wheat)
Lineage: Eukaryota; Viridiplantae; Streptophyta; Magnoliopsida; Poales; Poaceae
Description: partial small subunit ribosomal RNA
Source: RNAcentral